Molecule: transfer RNA, 72 nt
Filed under: Stegodyphus mimosarum
Lineage: Eukaryota; Metazoa; Arthropoda; Arachnida; Araneae; Eresidae
Rfam family: tRNA
About the family: Transfer RNA (tRNA) molecules are approximately 80 nucleotides in length. Their secondary structure includes four short double-helical elements and three loops (D, anti-codon, and T loops).
Source: Rfam by way of RNAcentral
GCCUUCGUGGUGUAAUUGGAGCACAUCCGGCUAGUAAUCGGAAGGUUCUAAGUUUGAAUCCCGGUGAUGGCA